This is a non-coding RNA of Streptomyces sp. CB03911, 102 nucleotides long. The record is from Rfam. NCBI's taxonomy places the organism in Bacteria, Bacillati, Actinomycetota, Actinomycetes, Kitasatosporales, Streptomycetaceae.
CGAACCCGCGCGGGAGAGUCCGGAGUGCCCUCGGGGUACAGCCGGCGCCGAAGGAGCAAGUCCUCCCCGGAAUCUCUCAGGCACCCCUACCGCACGGGCGAG